RNAcentral lists this long non-coding RNA (6543 nucleotides) under Homo sapiens (human). RNAcentral's name for it is "HSALNT0362308". Lineage: Eukaryota; Metazoa; Chordata; Mammalia; Primates; Hominidae. The record is from RNAcentral.
GGUAGGAAAAAAAGGAUGAGAACCCUUUAAAAACAUGAGGAAAAUCUACCCUCAUUUUUAUUAGUCAGUUAGAAUGGAGUUUUACUAUAACUUAUUCCAAAUAACUUUCUUUUUCCGAAACUCCUAAGUUGGCUAGGAAUUUCUCUGCCUUUCCUGAUGGAUUUUCCGUUUUUACCUGAUUUCAUAAAUUUCUGGAACUUAUGAAGUUUCCGGAAAUUUUCCCACCACAGUGAAUUCAUUCAUUAAUAAAUAUACAUUCUAUAUCAGGCACUGUGGAAGCCUGGGGGUACAAUUUUAAAUAAGAUAGACACGGCUCCUUCUCUAAUGCAAACACAUUAGGGAGGAUUUUUAAAAUUUGUGAUUACAAAAGUAAUGCAGGAACAUUGUAAAAAAAUUUAAAAGUAAAGUAUGAACUAUCAUGAGAAAAUCAUUUAUAAUCUGGGAAGUCCACAGAAAUGAUGAGAAAACAUGGCAGACACACAAUCAAAUGUUUAUCAACAUGAACAGCAUGACAAUCUGAAGGUUAAAAUAACAUAAUCACAACAAAGAAUUUACUCAGUUGAAAUAUUAAAAACCAAAUGAAUCUCUAGUCUUUCAUUAAUGUAAUAAUGUAUUUAUUAAUUUAGCUGAUCUUUUAGGUGCUUACUCUGUAUAGACUGCUUCUCAGCAUGUUGCUUCUGAGGUUGACCACCUUUGGCCUAGGUGCCCAGAAUAUUUUUCAAGGUUACUGUUUUGGCAUAUCUCAUCAUGGGCAUUUCUGGUUUUUUUUUUCUCUUGUUCUCGUUUUAUCCUCUACUCUUUCAUCCCUUGCUUUAGGAAUAAAGAUUUCUGCCUGAAUCUUGGGCCUGACUGAUCAUCCACAGAUGUUACUGGUAGCCCUCUGAGCAGCACUGUCUCAAGCGGUCUGAUAACAGGCCCUGAAACUUCCACCCUGCAUUCCAUUCCUUGUGUCUUAAAAGCAGACUGCAGUGUAGCUGAAGCAACCUUCUAUUCAUGCCAAAGUGCUUUAUUCUGUGACUAUACCUUGUAUUGAGCUCUAAAACCUCAGAGAGCUUUAAACUGGUUUUGCCUUUAUAGAAAGGUUAAGUCCAUUUGUGCAUUACAGCUUUUAUUCUGUGUGUGUGUGCAUACUUAAAUUAAAAUGGAAAUUUAUUUGUUAGGUUAGUUUCUCCCAGAAUUGCUCCUGGCAAAGAGGAAGAAGGAGAUGGAUGGAUGGAGAUGGAUGGAUAGAUGGAUGGAGAGAGGGAGGGAGGAAGACAGGCAGGCAGACAGACAGACUGCUAUCACAAGAAAGGCUGUUAUCACAAGUAUUUUAAGUGUCCUGCUAUAAUUUUUGUGUACUUAUAAAAGUGGAUAGAAACACAAGUUGAACAAAACAGGUUUUGUUUGCUUCCUAGUACCUGGGAGCAUCUUUUCCCACAGAUAAAAAGGAUAACCUUAACCUGCCCAUUUCUUUGGGCAGUUAGUGGAACUAACUGGCAGUUUUAUACAUUCAAUUGGAAAAAAACAGAAAGUUUUAGGAAACACCAUUCUUGCAAAGCCUGUCCUAAAAGAUUUCUCAGAUUUCUUUAAAGAGAAGUAUCACCUCCUUGGCGAGGCCAUUCCUUACCAUCCAAUCUAAACUGCUUCAUCACUCCCCCACACCUGUCACCAUCACAUAGCAUCUUGCUCUCAUUUCUUCUUCAUGUUUACCACCAUAUAAACUUAUCUUGUUCAUCUUACUUGAUGGCUGUUCAUGGCACUUCUCUCAAUCUCUGCCUUCUGCUACCUGCCUCCCUCCCUAGAAAUGUAUAAGCUCCACAGAUGAGUAAUAACUUUAUCUGUCUUGGCCAGAACAUUUAUGUGUGAUGGGGACAGAGAAACAUGCAAUAAAAAUGUGUUGAAUGGAUGAAAAAAGAAAAAAGUACCGAUAUAAUUUCCCAAGGGUCUAUUCUUCCAGUAAACACACCUAAGAUGUUAGCCCCCUAAAUGCAUCUCCAAAUAUGUACAGGUCACGCAUUUAGAUUAUCCUUAAAUGGUAAUGCCAUAAGAAAUAAUUAAAGGAAGUUACAGAUAUAACUCUUCAUUUAUUAUUUUUAAGCAUCUACUCAACACUUAUAUGCCAGACCAUAUAAAAGGAGAAAAGAAGAUGAGCAUGUUUCUGUCCCUGCUUCUGAUAAACUCACAAGGUCAUGGGGGACUGUAAUAAUUAAUAUUAAUUUAGCUUUUUACAGUUUUCAAAAAUAUUUUCCAAAAUUAUUACACUUGAAAAUAAGGGCAUAUAGCCAACCUGGGAGAUUUAGGGGAGUAUCUAUCUUGUUUCUCUUGGAAAUAUCAGCAGAAACUGACGCAACCUAUGAGAUGCUUCUGAUAUUUGUAUGUUGUGCAUACCUGGAACCAGGCUUUGGAUUAUGGCUUCUUGAUGCCAGGGAUGAAACAAUCUCCCCUAACUUCAAAUAUAACUGCAAGUAACAGUACACUGGGAAUUUCCAGGCAGCAAGUUGUAAUAGAAUGGAGCAUGAUGUCACAAACCCUAAGACAGUUUUGUAAAUUAUUAGAGCAUUUGUUCACAUGGACCCCCUUCAUGCUCCAAUUCACCUUAACUUUUAUAAAGAACAUCAAAUCUGGCAAAUAUGCUUAGUGGAUUGACCCAAAUGUGCAAUUAACAGACUCAUGCUCUCAUGUCGGAUUCCAGGGCCUUAUUAGAUAGCCUUUCUUUCCAUUUAAUGAGCUCUGUACUGCUUGGAAAGCUAGACCUGGUGAGGUGUUCCUGAAUCUGAGGACUUGUUAGAAAUUCUCUGAGGUGGGCUUUCUCAUAAACCUUGGCUUCAACACACCAAAAUAACCAAGAGAAACAUUAAUUAUUCAGUCUAACCACUAAUCUCUGGUUGCCAGAUAGAAAGGCACCCUCUUCAAUGCUUGAUACAUUUUAGGUAUCUCAUAAAUAUUCUCAAAUAGUUGUUGAAUAAAGGAGGAAAUGGAUAAACAAGUACAUGUAGAAUCUUCCCUUUAAUUCUACCCUCAAAAGAAAAUGAGGCACUUGACUGAAAGCAAGCUUAAUAAAUGAAUCAAUUCAAGUCAGUUCUGUGUUCACACAGAAGUCACCAGGCUCACGUUGGGCCUCAACCACUGAAAAUGAGGGAAAAAAAAUCACAAAGGCCUUUUCAAGUUCUGCCUUAUUUUCAUUUGUUAGCCACAGGCCAUGUUUUCUAAAAAUACUGCUAAAACUUAAGCUUAUGGAAGCUAUCUACUAAGAUCAAGCUGACUUUUAUCCCUGUAGCCGUUUUAUGGGGGGGAUCACAGCACUGGGACAUGACCACCUGCUAGCAGCUUUCAGGCUAAAUUAGAUUCAGGGAUCCUUGCAAUGAAAUCUUUGCAUAGGGCAGUUUAUCAAAAUCUUUAGCUCACUUAAUACCCCUAUCAUCUGACUCUAAUCCAAGACAUUCAGAAUUUAUUUAUCCUUAAACACAUUUAUCCUCUUCUCCAGUUUCUUUCUUUUUUUUUUUUUGUCUCAUUGCUUCAACAAGAUUGUUAACUCCUUUAAGACAAGAAAUGUAGCCUCCAGUUCUUUCUUACUCCAUCUCUGCCUAGUGCAGUACUGAGCACAUAGAGGUGAUCAAUAAAUAUUCCCUUUAAACUUAAAUAAAAACUUACAAAAGUAGCCAUCAAUAUCGAGUCAAUUUGGAAAAUAGACAAAAGGAAAAAUAUUACUUCUAGCUUUAUUAUUUAAUUCAUCCAUUUUAGUAAGGAACAUACCCCCUGUACUUCUCAAGCUUUUCAACUGAACUAACCCUCCAAAGAGAAGAAAAUUAAUCAAUGCUCUUGCUCCCAACUCCAGGUAUGGGCCCAACCUCAUGAACAAAAUUAAGGAUAGAAACAAGUCUCAGUCGCAGCCUGCCUAGAUGGCUUCGAUGCCAGGCAAUAAAACAGUGUGAGCUUCUAUCUGAGUUGAGGUUCCUUUUAGCAAGUGAAACCAACUUGCAAAACAGGGAAAACUGACACUCCAGCAAGAUGUACCAAGUUUACCUCAAGGCUUCAUCUUUCCCUUCACCCAACUUCAAACCUUCCAUGGGAACAGAAGGCCCAGUUUAAGAGGGGCAACAGCAUGGAGUGCAUCACCCUGCACGACCCAUGGAAAUGUCUGUGAGUCUGAAGUUUCCAAGCACACAGAACUCCUACCUAUGUGGCAAUUGUAGCUCGCAUGACUAAUUUCUCAUCUGAACAGACAAACUGGUUUCCCCAAAGCCUCCUUAGCUUGGCAGGGGGUGUGGGCACAAUUAAAUGGUAAUAAGUUUUCAUAUAUCUAAGAGUUGCUACCAAUCAGGGUGGGGCAGACAAAAGAGAGUAGCUGCUAAGGUUUUAUCCUAACCCAUGAGACUCUGCCAUCUGUCCUGUGGCAGAAAGCUGAUUCAUAGCUACCUGAGAGAAAUUAUGGAAAUGAGUUUUGCAAUACUUAAUACCAGUUAUGGGUGAAAUGAUAGAUUUCUUUGGCACAGUUUUUCUAAAUAAUACUUCUUGGUGAACCUACCCACCAACUCACCCCCAUCACAUCAUGUCAUCAAGUAUGGAUAACACCAACAUUCUAGAAUCUAUUGCAUUCUCUUUGUAAGCUAUUACUGAGUUUUUGCCACCUCAUGUUGCCUACCGGUUUUAUGGGUCAUGCUAACUGUAAAUUGGGGAUAUUAAAGUUUAUAUGUGUGUAUGUGGCAUGAGUAAGUUACUGUUCACAAGGAGGAAAGAAUAUUCAGCAAAUCCAGGAAGCAUACUUUCCUCCCCUUUUAAGCCCCUGAGGAGGACUUGGUCAUUAAAAUCCUGUCCUGGGCUGAGGCUAAGCAGAACCAGAAUCCUAACUCCUCCAUAGGCAGGCUGUGUGUGCAAAUUCGCUAAGCCUCGGCUGCUUCAUCCAUAAAAUGAGGUGAUAAUAUUGACCAAUACUGCAGUUUGAGGAUUAAGUGAGGGGUUUGGCCAGGUGGGCAGUAGGGCUCCCAGCAUCUAAGUGCUUGAUGAUUGGCCAGUGGCAGUUGUAAGAACUCCCCUGGUCCUCAGCACAUGGCAGCAUAUCUAUAUUUUGCAAGUAUGCCUUGUUUGUAUUUCACAAUCAAAGUUCAGCUUACUAAAUUCACUUUCUUAGGCCAGUGGCCUAGUCAGGGCCAUAAUUAAACAAUUAGCCUUGGGAAUAGAAUAAUGGAUUUGCUAAAUGGCCUUUUUUCAUUGCAUCCUACAGUGCAAGUUCAGUAGCCACCAGAGCUUUCUCCCUCUCUCUGCUCCUUUCAUAUUCCCCCAGACCUAGCUCUGAACACAUACAGAUGUCUAUGUACAUCUGCUCUUUAUUUUAGAGCAGUGCUCCUCAAUAGAACUUUCUGCAAUGAUGGAAAUGUUCUCUAACCUGGGUCAUCCAGUACAGUAGCCACUGGCCAUCGGUGACUAACCGAGCACUUAAAAUGUAGUUAGUGCUAGUGAAGAACUAAAGUUUUAAUUUUAGUAUUUUAAUUAGUUUAAGUGUAAGUCACCACAUGUGGUUAGUGGCUACCAUAUCAGACAGGGCAAUUUUAGGCAAAAGACUUUCCUUUUCCCUUUCAGCAAGAGUCUCAGCCAUCACUCAUAAUGUGGGUGCAUGACUGUACCCAGUGUUGGAGGAUAGAAGCACUUAACUUACACUUCAUGGUUUCCGUAGAGUUCUGCAGCUUGACUUUUCAAAAGCAGUCUGUGUGCAUGUGAGUGUGUGUUGCAGAGAAAGGGGAAUCAUAUUACCUAAAGACACUGCAAAAGCACAGCUACAGGCUGGGGUAGAAACUUCAGAGCAGUUGCAGAGGUUACUCAGUCCUCUUCUAGUGAAAACAAAUCGAACCACAACAAUUCACUGUGAUUGCCACCGUGGCUUGCUCUUCUUGUGCACCGCUUACCGCAAGGCCAUUGGAAAUUCAAAAAAUAAAGUCCUUGCUUGUUGUGAUUAUCUUGCUUGGAGCCAUAGUUUGAGGAAGGCUCUAUGCAGCUCUAGAAUAACUGGUAGGAGCCCUCUCAGGGCUCCCAAAAAUAAUAUAUCUUAAUAUAAUAUAGCUUAAUAACUUUCAUGCCUUUUUAUUUACUUUUUCAAACCAGAGAAACAUAGAAGAGAAACCAAAAAAAAUUUUUUUUAAGAGAGAGUAAGAGAGAGUAGUUUGAAAAGUCUGCUUUGAUCCAAGUCUGCAGGGCCAAGACUCUAACAGCCACAUAUUUAUUUCAAACACUGUUAUUUGGUUUAUGUUUUCUUGUGGUUCUGACAAUGAUACUGCAGCUUCUUCAAAGCCAGGAGAGCUCUGUGGAAGCAGGUUAGACAAGAGGAUUCCAGCCGAGAGGACCCCUAAUGGCUUCCUCUGGGUUCCCGCUCUAUGAUUCACAAAGGUGUCUUUAGCUGACUUUAAACUCCAGUUGUCAUACAGGUUGCAGAUUGACUUGGCCAAAUUAAUACGUGGGGUUGACUCCUUAGGCAAUAAUCCAUUCAGCUGUGGGAAAGGAGCCUUCCAGUUCUAAGCCCAGCUGCCUGGUCCCAGGCCGCCAGCUUUCCCCAGUGGUCGGGUGCUGGUC